UCCAGACCAGACUUAAAGGCUAACUUGUC
This 29-nucleotide non-coding RNA is filed under the name Mus musculus (house mouse). Lineage: Eukaryota; Metazoa; Chordata; Mammalia; Rodentia; Muridae. The record is from RNAcentral.